AACGAACGCUGGCGGCAUGCCUAACACAUGCCAGUCGAACGAGACCUUCGGGUCUAGUGGCGCACGGGUGCGUAACGCGUGGGAACCUGCCCUUAGGUUCGGAAUAACUCCCCGAAAGGGGUGCUAAUACCGGAUAAUGUCUUCGGACCAAAGAUUUAUCGCCUUUGGAUGGGCCCGCGUUGGAUUAGCUAGUUGGUAGGGUAAAAGCCUACCAAGGCGACGAUCCAUAGCUGGUCUGAGAGGAUGAUCAGCCACACUGGGACUGAGACACGGCCCAGACUCCUACGGGAGGCAGCAGUGGGGAAUAUUGGACAAUGGGCGAAAGCCUGAUCCAGCAAUGCCGCGUGAGUGAUGAAGGCCUUAGGGUUGUAAAGCUCUUUUACCCGGGAUGAUAAUGACAGUACCGGGAGAAUAAGCUCCGGCUAACUCCGCG
Molecule: ribosomal RNA, 433 nt
Filed under: uncultured bacterium
Lineage: Bacteria
Description: partial 16S ribosomal RNA
Rfam family: Bacterial small subunit ribosomal RNA
Source: RNAcentral